UUGCCUACGGGGGGCAGCAGUGGGGAAUAUUGGGCAAUGGGCGCAAGCCUGACCCAGCAACGCCGCGUGAAGGAAGAAGGCUUUCGGGUUGUAAACUUCUUUUGUCAGGGACGAAGCAAGUGACGGUACCUGACGAAGAAGCCCCGGCUAACUACGUGCCAGCAGCCGCGGUAAUACGUAGGGGGCAAGCGUUAUCCGGAUUUACUGGGUGUAAAGGGAGCGUAGGCGGUUUAGCAAGUCAGAAGUGAAAGCCCGGGGCUCAACUCCGGGACUGCUUUUGAAACUGUUGAACUAGAUUGCAGGAG
Molecule: ribosomal RNA, 305 nt
Filed under: uncultured bacterium
Lineage: Bacteria
Description: bacterial SSU rRNA
Rfam family: Bacterial small subunit ribosomal RNA
Source: RNAcentral